This 297-nucleotide long non-coding RNA is filed under the name Nicotiana benthamiana. Its description in RNAcentral is "long non-coding RNA (NBEN_LNC001722)". The record is from RNAcentral. Lineage: Eukaryota; Viridiplantae; Streptophyta; Magnoliopsida; Solanales; Solanaceae.
GUUAUUGGGGUGUGUCUAAGUUGGGUGUGUUAUGAUCCAAAGAGCUAGGAUGAACAAAUCUCAUGCUUUUAAAAAAGAGGCAUGUCUAUGUCCUUGUCUGCUAUUGUGGUGGCCUUUCUCCUGGCAGUUUAUUGGUUAUUUUGGGUGGCUUUCAACACUUUGACUCAGCUAGCCACAUGAUUCAGAGUAAAUAAAGUUUGGAAAUAACACAUGUUAGAUUCUUUGUUUGGAAAGAAAGUAUACAUGUUAGAUUCAAAAAGGAAGCAAGGUCGUAACUUGGCAGCAAAAUAGUAUCCC